AGUCGAGGGGUAACAUGAGAGCUUGCUCUUGAUGACGACCGGCGCACGGGUGCGUAACGCGUAUGCAACCUACCCACAACUGGAGCAUAGCCCGGAGAAAUUCGGAUUAAUACUCCAUAAUGCAGGGGUACCUCCUGGUACUAUUUGCUAAAGAUUUAUUGGUUGUGGAUGGGCAUGCGUCUGAUUAGUUUGUUGGUGAGGUAACGGCUCACCAAGACCACGAUCAGUAGGGGGUCUGAGAGGAUGAUCCCCCACACUGGCACUGAGAUACGGGCCAGACUCCUACGGGAGGCAGCAGUAGGGAAUAUUGGGCAAUGGGCGAAAGCCUGACCCAGCCAUGCCGCGUGAAGGAUGAAGGCCUUCUGGGUUGUAAACUUCUUUUAUAUAGGAAGAAAAAGGUCAUGCGUGACCAAUUGACGGUACUAUAUGAAUAAGCACCGGCUAACUCCGUGCCAGCAGCCGCGGUAAUACGGAGGGUGCAAGCGUUGUCCGGAUUUAUUGGGUUUAAAGGGUGCGUAGGCGGUGCGUUAAGUCAGUGGUAAAAUCCCGCAGCUCAACUGCGGAACUGCCAUUGAUACUGGCGCACUUGAGUACGGACGAGGUAGGCGGAAUUUAUGGUGUAGCGGUGAAAUGCAUAGAUACCAUAAAGAACACCGAUAGCGAAGGCAGCUUACUAGACCGUAACUGACGCUCAG
This 695-nucleotide ribosomal RNA is filed under the name uncultured Bacteroidota bacterium. Its description in RNAcentral is "bacterial SSU rRNA". It matches the Rfam family "Bacterial small subunit ribosomal RNA", at positions 60 to 750 of the family's 1533-position model. The record is from RNAcentral. Lineage: Bacteria; Pseudomonadati; Bacteroidota.